GACGAACGCUGGCGGCGUGCUUAACACAUGCAAGUCGAACGGUGAAGGGACUGGUUUUGCUGGUCCUGGAUGAGUGGCGAACGGGUGAGUAACACGUGAGUAACCUGCCCCCUUCUUCUGGAUAACCGCAUGAAAGUGUGGCUAAUACGGGAUAUUCUGGGUCUGUCGCAUGGUGGGCCUGGGAAAGAUUGCGCCUUUUUUGGUGUUUUUGGUGGGGGAUGGGCUCGCGGCCUAUCAGCUUGUUGGUGGGGUGAUGGCCUACCAAGGCGGUGACGGGUAGCCGGCCUGAGAGGGUGGACGGUCACACUGGGACUGAGACACGGCCCAGACUCCUACGGGAGGCGGCAGUGGGGAAUAUUGCACAAUGGGCGCAAGCCUGAUGCAGCGACGCCGCGUGAGGGAUGGAGGCCUUCGGGUUGUGAACCUCUUUCGCCAGUGAAGCAGGCCUGCCUCUUUUUGUGGGUGGGUUGACGGUAGCUGGAUAAGAAGCGCUGGCUAACUACGUG
This 506-nucleotide ribosomal RNA is filed under the name uncultured bacterium. Its description in RNAcentral is "partial 16S ribosomal RNA". It matches the Rfam family "Bacterial small subunit ribosomal RNA", at positions 28 to 507 of the family's 1533-position model. The record is from RNAcentral.